This is a non-coding RNA of Phoenix dactylifera (date palm), 1141 nucleotides long. The record is from RefSeq and is a predicted model, not a curated record. Lineage: Eukaryota; Viridiplantae; Streptophyta; Magnoliopsida; Arecales; Arecaceae.
CUGAGUACUGUUAAGUUGGCUGUGGGAGAAUUCUCUGAAGCCAAACAUAAUUGAUAUCAGUCGUGGAUGCCUUUUAUGCUAGUAUUCUCUGUUCUUCAGUUUAUUUACUUGUUCUUCUUCCUGUUGGGAAAGAUAAAAUCCUUUUGAAGUUUAUUGUAUUGUUUUUGUUGACCACAUCAUUUGAGCACUACAGGAAAAUUGGGAAAAGGCGACCCUUUUUUGCCGACGCUAUCCACAAGCGUCGGGAAAAAAUACCCCAGGCGUCACAUAUCCUCACGCUUCAAAGAAGCGUCGGUGGCUACAUGUGUAUAAAGCAUUUCUGUUGUCCCACCUACACAUGUGAAAAUUUAUGUGUAUAAAUUGGAUAUAUAUACAUGUGUAUGCAUGCAUUUAUGUUCAUAACUCACAUGGAUGCUCUCAGAUAAGCAUAUAGAGGUGCCAUGGAUCAGGAAAUCACCAUAUAUUGAAAGAUUGGUAGAUGAGCUUGUUCUUUUGUGCAAAGAAUCUGCAGUAAGAAAGAGCCGUGAAGUUAUCCGCAAUCACAUUUUACAAUUACUGUUGUUGAUUCAGAAGUCACUUGACAGCUAGGAGUGAUGUCUACAGCUUCGGGGUUGUCCUUCUUGAGCUCUUAACAGGACGCCGGUCUGUGGACAAGAUAUUCUAUAUUUUCUGAUUGUAUCAAUCUUUUUUCUGAAUGGAACAGGCAUGGAGGCAGGGCUUAUGCUUUGUGAUUGCCAGCUUGUCCCAGGAUCACUACAGAUUGGCAUUUAUGGACGACUUUUGAAACUUAGCAUCAAGUCCUUCAAGGUGCCAGAACUUUUUGUUGAGAUUCCUCAAAAUGCUACUGUUGGUUCCUUGAAGUCGCAAGAAUUCUUUCAAUAUCUUUUAGAAUGUUUAAUGACAAUACUCGCCCGAGCAAGGAGCGGAGCAGAGCAGAGCUUAAGAAGACUCCGGUCUGUGGACAAGACUCGCCCGAGCAAGGAGCAGAGCUUGGUUGACUGGGCUCGCCCCAAGCUUAAUGACAAUAUUGUAGAGAUGAUGAUGCCGACCCUUGAUACAUAUUGUAGAUUGUGUACGUAGGAAUUUGACUUGUAUGUUUUUAGAAUGUUUUUGAAGUACAAUGUAAUCAAAUAUGAUAAUA